RNAcentral lists this ribosomal RNA (275 nucleotides) under uncultured bacterium. RNAcentral describes it as "partial 16S ribosomal RNA". It matches the Rfam family "Bacterial small subunit ribosomal RNA", at positions 399 to 691 of the family's 1533-position model. The record is from RNAcentral.
GCGUGAGUGAUGAAGGCCUUAGGGUUGUAAAGCUCUUUCGCCGACGAAGAUAAUGACGGUAGUCGGAGAAGAAGCCCCGGCUAACUUCGUGCCAGCAGCCGCGGUAAUACGAAGGGGGCUAGCGUUGCUCGGAAUCACUGGGCGUAAAGCGCACGUAGGCGGAUUGUUAAGUCAGGGGUGAAAGCCUGGAGCUCAACUCCAGAACUGCCUUUGAUACUGGCAAUCUCGAGUCCGGAAGAGGUAAGUGGAACUCCGAGUGUAGAGGUGAAAUUCGU